Molecule: ribosomal RNA, 291 nt
Filed under: uncultured prokaryote
Description: partial 16S ribosomal RNA
Rfam family: Bacterial small subunit ribosomal RNA
Source: RNAcentral
GUGCCAGCCGCCGCGGUAAUACGGAGUGUGCAAGCGUUAAUCGGAAUUACUGGGCGUAAAGCGCGCGUAGGCGGUCGAAUUAGUCGGGUGUGAAAGCCCCGGGCUCAACCUGGGAAUUGCAUUCGAUACUGUUCGGCUAGAGUCUGGUAGAGGGAAGUGGAAUUUCCGGUGUAGCGGUGAAAUGCGUAGAUAUCGGAAGGAACACCAGUGGCGAAGGCGACUUCCUGGACCAAGACUGACGCUGAGGUGCGAAAGCGUGGGGAGCAAACAGGAUUAGAUACCCCAGUAGUC